UCAUGGGUAGGCUCCGGGCCAGCGCCGCGCGUCCGCUCCCGGUCUUCGCGCCGACGCGAGCAGGCCCACCGUGGGCGCCGCGCACAGGCCUCGAAGGCUAAGGUGGACUGCGCCGGCCCGCCACGCGGCCCUUGAGGACUGCACCGCCCGGGCGAGGGCGAGGGCAGGAGGAAGGGGCAGGGGAGGCGGCAAGCAACCCAGCAGAAGGGGACUCGCCAGGUCAGUCAAAGGCCAGGGCGUUACCAAGGCUGCCCUCCACUCUGCCGUGUGGCCAUUAGCGCACAGUGAUUAAAGAAGCGCGCCCAGUGAGUUUACAAGAGCGCUUGCCACGGCACUCGCGCGUGGACACGACCAGUGGUCACGUUUCGAUCUGUCAGGAAAGCAUCCUCUACCGAGCCUCACGCUCCAGCAACACGCGGAGUCCGCCUGCCUACCAGUCACUGGAUCUGCUAAUUCUGUCUUCCUGACUGAAUCAAGGUUCUUUCUCACGCAGGUUGCCCCAGCUUCUCUCAGUACCAGGGAUCAAACUCAGGACCUGGUGCUUGCCAGGUAGACGCUGCGCUGCUGAGCUACAUCUCCGGCAGUCAUUUGUUUUUCUGACAGCUACCUUUUCUAGCUCUUCUACCUCCGGACCAAGCUAUGUGGUUGUUUCUGGCAAGUGGAUGUAGACAAAAGUAGCUCAUCCAAUAUAGCACUGUCAAAAAGACAAGCACACAGAGGAGGAGGGUUCCAGGUCACCUUACCACUGCUCCCAACACAGAGGAGGAGGCUUCUGGGUUGCCAGGGCACCGCUCCCAGCACAGAGGAGGUGAGCCGAGUGGGCUCCAGCAGCACUCCCCCUACCCCGGAUCGAAAUGAGAAAACAUGUAAACAAGCCUCAAAACCAGACUUCCAGAUCACCUAUAGCAACCCCAAAGUGAGCUUUGAACUGAGGAGUGUUCUACCACUGAGCUGUAAUCCUCCACCAUUUUAUAAUCUUAUUUUGAGGGAAGUCUUGCUAAAGUUGUCCAAGCAGGCCUCACACUUGCAACACUUCUGCCCCCAUCUCCUGAGCAGCUGGGAUGACAGGUGUGUGGCCCCACACCCAGCUAAUAUGGAGCUUGUGCUAGUAUUACUUCCUGCUUCUUGUGGCCAGUGCUUUCUUUCUUCAUGUUGGUAAGUUCACUUUCAGUAAGUUCCUCUGGAUAGCAAUGUCAAUAUUCCUGCAGUCAGCAACUGAUCCUAUAAUUCCAUUUAUGUUCAAUUUGAAUUUCACUUCCAGCUGAAAUCAUUUCUGUAUUAUUUUCUGCACUUUCAUAUCAGUUAGCCAAGUAUCUCUUUUGAUUACUCUAUUUUUGUAAAACAUCACGUGGAUUUAUCACUGAGGUACAAGGACUUCCAUUAUAUUAAAUUCUGUGUUAGCUAAUAUUCUACUAAUCAGAAUAAACUGUUUAUCCAUUCAUUCAAUAAAUGUGGGUUAGGCAGUGUACCACAUGCUUGGAAUUGUAUCUUACCCAUAAAUAAAACAGGCAAUAAUCUUGUC
Molecule: non-coding RNA, 1522 nt
Organism: Heterocephalus glaber (naked mole-rat)
Lineage: Eukaryota; Metazoa; Chordata; Mammalia; Rodentia; Bathyergidae
Source: RefSeq, a predicted model, not a curated record